UGGGGAAUAUUGGACAAUGGGCGCAAGCCUGAUCCAGCCAUGCCGCGUGAGUGAUGAAGGCCUUAGGGUUGUAAAGCUCUUUCGGCGGGACGAUAAUGACGGUACCCGCAGAAGAAGCCCCGGCUAACUUCGUGCCAGCAGCCGCGGUAAUACGAAGGGGGCUAGCGUUGCUCGGAAUCACUGGGCGUAAAGGGCGCGUAGGCGGACAUUUAAGUCGGGGGUGAAAGCCCAGGGCUCAACCCUGGAAUUGCCUCCGAUACUGGGUGUCUCGAGACCGGAAGAGGUGAGUGGAACUGCGAGUGUAGAGGUGAAAUUCGUAGAUAUUCGCAAGAACACCAGUGGCGAAGGCGGCUCACUGGUCCGGUUCUGACGCUGAGGCGCGAAAGCGUGGGGAGCAAACAGGAUUAGAUACCCUGGUAGUCCACGCCGUAAACGAUGGAUGCUAGCCGUUGGCAGGCUUACCUGUCAGUGGCGCAGCUAACGCUUUAAGCAUCCCGCCUGGGGAGUACGGCCGCAAGGUUAAAACUCAAAUGAAUUGACGGGGUCAUAGCUGUUUCCU
RNAcentral lists this ribosomal RNA (559 nucleotides) under uncultured bacterium. Its description in RNAcentral is "partial 16S ribosomal RNA". It matches the Rfam family "Bacterial small subunit ribosomal RNA", at positions 355 to 1375 of the family's 1533-position model. The record is from RNAcentral.